CUGCUCAGGAUUCUCUUUCUCUCUCUCUGCCCCUCCCCUGCUCGCACUCCCUCCCACUUUCUCUCUCUUUCAAAAUAAAUAAAUAAACAUUAAAAAAUAACCACAGAAAACCUAAUGUCCCCUCGUCCUCUGAAUAUCUACCCUGAGCCCUUCACCAUCAGGCUGUCCACUCAGCCCGGAAAGACCUGUCUUCUCCCUUCCCGCUCUCCUAAAACAGCCCGCCUUAGGAGACCAUGGACAAGAUCCACGUGGCCCGACAGGCCCUCCUCACCUCACCUCUCACCAUCCACCACACGCCCCCCCCCUCCCCGGUCGUUUGCUGAAGACUGCCUUGGACUGGCAACUCUGCUCGUGUUUCAAACUGGAUUUGGACCCCUCCAGUGUCAGAGAACCUAGCACCAGGCUUGGCAGGUGGAUGUCUGUUGAAGAACAACAAAGACAUCAUGGCACGUUAGGCUUUUCAAGUGUUUUGGCCUUUAUGUUUUGGAUGACCCCCAGGGAGACAGGGCCCCGAACUCUGGAUUCAGAAGGGGCACUGGCUCUCAGAGACCUGGAGAGACGGGGCACAGGACGUGCCUGAGAAGUCGGGCUUCCAGGCCGACCUGUGUGCAGACUGACAAUUCACCAGGGAAGGGCUGUAACGUGCUCCCUGGAGCACGCUCUCCCUACCUCCACGAAGAGACGACGGUAGAAAAUGAGCUCGCCCGUCCCUCUCCAGAGCCCGGCACCAAGCCAGCCUCACAGGAGAUCAUCCGCCACCUGGACGUGACCGGCCACUUACGAGGAAAGCGCUCCAAGAUUCCAAGAGACUAAAAGGCUCCUAACUGUUGUUUAGAAAUGUAAAUGGCCCUAAAUUAUAACCAGAGAGGGAAACGCAUCUAGGGGCAGGGAGGGCCAUUCUGUAAUCGGGUCUCGGGGCUGUCUGGCUUCUCCAACGCGCAGGGCAAAUACAGACGGUUUAUAGAUGUGGGCGAAGGUUCUCAGAGUGAAGAAUGUCCAUUUCCAUCAGAGAUUAAAAUGCAGUUUGGGAAAACAAUUACCUGCCUGGGAUCCUGGGAAAGUAAAGCUUCCUGGUUUCUCUGCCAAGGGGAACGAUUGUAAAACAAGGCCUGAGAAUCUCACAAACAAGAUUCUAGAAUUUUAUCCAAACAGCUGCAGUUCACCUUCAAGGAGCCCAGACGCACUUGGGUCUGAUGGAUGUUGCAACACCAAGUUCGAGGUCUCCCCGGUCUCGUGCCAAGAGCUGGCCCCACGGGACAAAGACAGAACAGUUGCUCUCUUAAUGGGAGCAGAAAACAACCCCCCCCCACCCCCCACCCCCACCACCCAACCUCUCUGCUUUGUUGUGAAAUUGUCACUGUGCCUUUGAGAAGAGAUUAAAAUCCUAGCCAUGUCAAAUUUAAAGGGCAGGUUCCCAGGCAGGGACUGGAGAGGGGUUUGGGCAGCGGUGGCGGGUGGGGGGUGGGGAAACCAAUUGCAGUGAAUUUACGGAGGAUUUGGGGAUCACAAAAGUCAAGGGCCUUGACUCAACUGAAAUUAAUGGAAAAGUACAAGUCUGCCAUUUAAAGAUAAUAGUAAAAUAAAGCGGCAAGGAUAUUCUGGCUUGUUCUCUGCCUCCAUUCUUGAGCCUGCUUAGGAAUCUCGGAGUGGGCUUCCUGAGGCACAGCAUGGGUGCCGCACAAGCGGCUGUUUUUACCUCCUUUCCUGCCCUGGACACACAAAGAUUCGGUAGCCGAGAGGGAGGAUAAACGGUCCACCCACAGCUGAACAUUUCCUGAGGGCCAGGGAGGUGCUCGGCAAAGCUGCUGGAAUUGGUGGGGGGAAGAAAAAGAAUAUGAGUUCUCAAGGCAUUGGCAGAAAAGACUAGAGAGAAAGAGGCCGCAGGAAAGUUCCCUGGCUUGGCGGCCUUGCCAGAGUCUCAGACACGGGACACUCCGCCUUCAAGAAGGAGGCCCUGGAUCCUUCCAGAGCCCCUGAAUCUCUCAUCUGGCUCCAAAUCUUCGGAAGUGCUAUAUAGGAACCCCUCCACAUAUUCUCUCCUGACUCCAUUUGUAAGGCGAGGAGACGGGUGACCGCAAAGACAUUCUCAUCCUGUGGGUCUGGUUCCCAGAGAGCGACCCAUUGGGGUGUGGGGAAGAGGGCCCCCAGCUCCACCUUAGGGAGGGAGCGCAUCUCAGCCUGGGGCCUGAUCGUUUCCAGGCCUGAAUAUGACCACUGGUCUUUGGACAGACACUGACAUUGAAGAAAUAUUCUUUGAUUAAAGAAAUCUUUUGAUUAA
Long non-coding RNA from Prionailurus viverrinus (fishing cat), 2278 nucleotides. RefSeq lists it as uncharacterized. The record is from RefSeq and is a predicted model, not a curated record. The transcript is spliced from 2 exons. Lineage: Eukaryota; Metazoa; Chordata; Mammalia; Carnivora; Felidae.